Podarcis raffonei (Aeolian wall lizard) is the source of this 2423-nucleotide long non-coding RNA. RefSeq lists it as uncharacterized. The transcript has 2 exons. The record is from RefSeq and is a predicted model, not a curated record. Lineage: Eukaryota; Metazoa; Chordata; Lepidosauria; Squamata; Lacertidae.
UUUUAAUAAUGUUUCAUUACCUUGUUUAUGUCUCUUACAGGAAAACAUAUGGGGUGUGGUGGUAGGAUUUCUGCUUCAAACAUCUUGGGCCCAGAGACUCAUUCUGUAAUCUGAGGACCAAACUAGAUGUUACCUUUGCAAAUACUUGGCCUCAAACUCAUGUUUGUCAGUACAAGCAUGGAGUGGGCGGUUGCAGGUGGUUGCAAGGACAGGUCAGCCAGCAGGUGGAGCAGAUGCAUAACUCCUGAACAGCCCACAGUUUCUCCUGCACAAUUUCUGUGGACUCUCUCUUCAGCCAAACACAUUUUCUGACACAAAGCUAGAUGCGAGCAGAACUUGCUGGGGAGAAUCAGCAAGCACAUAUCUGCCUGCCAAGUCUUCCCUGCAAAGUUAGCAUUACGAUGGAAAAACUGCCCUCUUGUUUCCCUCUCAGUGUCCAGUUUGGCCACAAAACUUCUUCAUUUGCCAACUUCUGUUUUCUGUAUUUUCCACCUCAUAUUGUAUUUCAUAUCAACCUUGUUGAUACUGGCCUGAUCAGUAUCAUCUUUGAUAUGCAGAGCACAGGAUGUCAGAGUUGAAGUCAGGAUCCAGUUAACCAUUUUGAAAACAUUGUGUGUGACAUGGUGGCAUAAAAGCAUAUGCUUAAAGUCUCGUCAACUGAAAUCUAUGGUACUUUAAAAUGUUUAGCUUUGGCUUUAUUAUUCUGCAGCUUUUCACAGAAUUGUGGUUUUUCCUUUCUCCUUCACAAUAACUGUUAAAAGGUGUAUUAAAAGGGGAAAUUAUUACUUAGAUUCCAAAUGCAAAAAUAAAAUAAGACAGGCAUGCCCUCUUUCAAAUACCUAAUUAUUAAACUAGUGUAAAAAUAUUUGGCCAAAAAUCAUGGAACUGUUAUUGUCAAUAUGAGAGUAAACAUUUGGCUGAAUUUUACACUGAAAUUUCACAGGAAAUUUUUUAUAGCCUUAUUUUGAGAAGUUUAUUUCCAGUUCCAGAUAUUUAUUUCUUGGUUUAUUUUAGAAGUCAGUGUUUGAUCAGCUGAAGUGGAGUAAGUAAGUAAACAAUAGCUCUUUCAGGGGCAGCAGAAAGUCUUGUGGUGCGUUAAAGAGUGACUUAUGAAUCAAUUAGGGCAUAAGCUUGUGUAGGUUGUUUGCAGAAAGCAGGCUAUGGCCCAGAAAAGCUUCUCCUUUAAUAUAUUUGUUGGUCUUCUUUAAGAUGACAUAAGACUUUUCGUUACAUUUUCUGAUUAACACUCAUUCAGGGAUUUAUCUGUUAAGCUGCAUGUGUCAGUCUUACGUGCUAUAAAAUAUCUGACGUUUGCCAUCUGUUAGAAAGAAAAGUUUAACUGUAAAGAAGCAUUGGGAGGUGUAAGGAAGGUAGCCUUGUGGUGUCUAGAAAUAUUGACUUGAAUCAUACAUUAAAGCUUGUACCUGCACAGCUGGAACUUUGACAGCCAAAAUGCUUUCAGUGUAAAAUACAGGUCUCCUGAUAGAACCAUAGCUCUGUUACUAGCAGUUUUCUGUGAUGAUUCACUUGGUGGUGCUAUUUUGGAUGUACAGACGACCUGUUUGCAACCGUGGAGAAGUGCCACCAAUGUAAUAUUUGUAGGCACGUGGUUAAUGGUCCUCUGGUCUUCCGUAAUUAGAGCUUUCAUUAUGCUAGAUCUUCUAGUUCAGCCAUAACCAACAGGGCUUAUGGCCUAGUCACAUGAACCUCCGCCAUUGUCCUGAAACAUUAGGUUGCUAAUCUGGCACCCAUGGGUGCGCAUAUGGCCAGAGAAGAGCUUCCUAGCACCCACAGGGUCCUGUCUCAAUUCUUCCCCCUGCUGAAAUUAGGCUGGAAAUAAGCCUAAACCUAAUGGGAUAAUGAAAGUCUAACUUUUGCAAGGAGGUGCUCUUCCCAGAGAUUGCUGGGGAAGGAAGGUUAGCCCUAGCUUCUCUCUCCAGGAAAAUUGCCACCACCAUUAGAUUUUGGAGGUUGGGAGCAAAAACAAUUCCAUCAAAUAUAAUUGCUGGCGAGGAGGGAGGGUGUUAGUGACUGCGCAUAUUCAUACACGGUUGUGGUACCCACACAACACAGUUUCUCCAUUUUGUACUUUUGCCCAUAGACCUAAAAAUGGUUGGCAACCCCUUCACCUAGUGUAUAGGAUUUAUCACCAGUGUUUAGAUUUUAGCAGUGCAUGGACUAUAGCACCAAUGCAAGGGGACAACUCAAGUGUAAGCUCUAGAAACAUUUCCUGUACUUCAACCGUCUUCAGAAUGAUUCUUUAGCAUAGCAGGCCAGAUAAAUUCUGAGCUUUUGUAUAAAAUCUAAGGGCGGGGAAUGCUAAUAUUAAGAAGCUUUACUUUGUAAAGUUGAGAAUUGCUUUGAAAAGUGUUGUAGUAAUAUAUUUAAAAUAAAGUCCAGCUUUAUUUUUGGCUUUAAAACGA